This 543-nucleotide ribosomal RNA is filed under the name Halobacterium salinarum. RNAcentral's name for it is "bacterial SSU rRNA". It matches the Rfam family "Archaeal small subunit ribosomal RNA", at positions 302 to 844 of the family's 1478-position model. The record is from RNAcentral. Lineage: Archaea; Methanobacteriati; Methanobacteriota; Halobacteria; Halobacteriales; Halobacteriaceae.
UCUGAGACAAGAUUCCGGGCCCUACGGGGCGCAGCAGGCGCGAAACCUUUACACUGUACGAAAGUGCGAUAAGGGGACUCCGAGUGUGAAGGCAUAGAGCCUUCACUUUUGUACACCGUAAGGUGGUGUACGAAUAAGGACUGGGCAAGACCGGUGCCAGCCGCCGCGGUAAUACCGGCAGUCCGAGUGAUGGCCGAUAUUAUUGGGCCUAAAGCGUCCGUAGCUGGCUGAACAAGUCCGUUGGGAAAUCUGUCCGCUUAACGGGCAGGCGUCCAGCGGAAACUGUUCAGCUUGGGACCGGAAGACCUGAGGGGUACGUCUGGGGUAGGAGUGAAAUCCUGUAAUCCUGGACGGACCGCCGGUGGCGAAAGCGCCUCAGGAGAACGGAUCCGACAGUGAGGGACGAAAGCUAGGGUCUCGAACCGGAUUAGAUACCCGGGUAGUCCUAGCUGUAAACGAUGUCCGCUAGGUGUGGCGCAGGCUACGAGCCUGCGCUGUGCCGUAGGGAAGCCGAGAAGCGGACCGCCUGGGAAGUACGUCUGC